This 513-nucleotide long non-coding RNA is filed under the name Lathyrus oleraceus (garden pea). RNAcentral describes it as "Pisum sativum (pea) long non-coding RNA (PSAT_LNC013736)". Lineage: Eukaryota; Viridiplantae; Streptophyta; Magnoliopsida; Fabales; Fabaceae. The record is from RNAcentral.
UCAGAUACGAGAAGGUGUCUCUGAGAAACAGAUAGCUGCUGAGGCAAGGAAAGCAAAGAAAGCCAGAACUGAAGGAGCUUCUGGAAGCGGAUCUUCAGCUCCUCUGCAAAUCUCAACUAGUAAGUCUAUUCCUCUGUUACUUCUGUACCUAUGAUGGCUUCUUCUCAUCCUCUCACAACAUCUCCCAUAUUUACUACCUCUGAAAUCCCACCUACAACCAUCAGAACCUCCCAACCUUUACCAAUACUAAAAUUGCCCGUACUUCCAUCCUCCAUCUGAACCUACACAAACCACUUCCUCUUCAUCAUCCUCAGAACCUGAAACACCUCCUUAUGUUUCUCUCUCCUCUGACCCUGAUUUUUCUGAUCCUGAGUCCCCAACCAUAGCCACUCUCUAUGCCAACAGACUUGCCUCUCAACAACAAACUCUAACACAAUCUGAAGUAACCUCACCACUCCAAACUUCACUUCCACCACAACAAACAACAACUCUCCCUCUGAAACUCAACCAUCU